GACGAACGCUGGCGGCGUGGAUUAGGCAUGCAAGUCGAACGGUAGGAUACCUUCGGGUAUCUGAGAGUGGCGAACGGGUGAGUAACACGUAGGUGAUCUACCCUCAAGAUUGGGACAACCCAGGGAAACUUGGGCUAAUACCGGAUGAAAGCAGCAGUGAUGUUGUUUGAAAGGUGGCGUAAGCUGCCGUUUGGGGAUGAGCCUGCGCUCUAUUAGUUAGUUGGCGGGGUAAAGGCCCACCAAGGCGAUGAUAGAUAGGCGGCCUUAACGGGUGGUCGCCCACACUGGGAUUGAGAUACGGCCCAGACUCCUACGGGAGGCAGCAGUCGAGAAUAGUCUACAAUGGCCGAAAGGCUGAUAGUGCGACGCUGCGUGAACGAAGAAGCCCUUCGGGGUGUAAAGUUCUUUUAUAUGUGAGCAGUGCUUUCUAUGUGAACAGCAUGGGGAAGAGAUAUUAGCAUAUGAAUAAGCAACGGCUAACUCCGUGCC
This 489-nucleotide ribosomal RNA is filed under the name uncultured bacterium. RNAcentral's name for it is "bacterial SSU rRNA". It matches the Rfam family "Bacterial small subunit ribosomal RNA", at positions 28 to 509 of the family's 1533-position model. The record is from RNAcentral.